AUGGUACAGGAGACAGGGAUCAAGACCAUCCCCAUGGAAAAGAAAUGCAAAAAAGCAAAAUGGCUAUCUGGGGAGGCCUUACAAAUAGCUGUGAAAAGAAGAGAAGCGAAAAGCAAAGGAGAAAAGGAAAGAUACAAGCAUCUGAAUGCAGAGUUCCAAAGAAUAGCAAGGAGAGAUAAGAAAGCCUUCCUCAGUGAUCAAUGCAAAGAAAUAGAGGAAAACAACAGAAUGGGAAACACUAGAGAUCUCUUCAAGAAAAUUAGAGACACCAAUGGAACAUUUCAUGCAAAGAUGGGCUCGAUAAAGGACAGAAAUGCUAUGGACCUAACAGAAGCAGAAGAUAUUAAGAAGAGGUGGCAAGAAUACACAGAAGAACUGUACAAAAAAGAUCUUCACGAUCCAGAUAGUCACGAUGGUGUGAUCACUCACCUAGAGCCAGACAUCCUGGAAUAUGAAGUCAAGUGGGCCUUAGAAAGCAUCACUACAAACAAAGCUGGUGGAGGUGAUGGCAUUCCAGUUGAGCUAUUUCAAAUCCUGAAAGAUGAUGCUGUGAAAGUGCUGCACUCAAUAUGCCAGCAAAUCUGGAAAACUCAGCAGUGGCCACAGGACUGGAAAAGGUCAGUUUUCAUUACAAUCCCAAAGAAAGGCAAUGCCAAAGAAUGCUCAAACUACCACACAAUUGCACUCAUCUCAUACGCUAGUAAAGUAAUGCUCAAAAUUCUCCAAGCCAGGCUUCAGCAAUACGUGAACCGUGAACUUCCUGAUGUUCAAGCUGGUUUUAGAAAAGGCAGAGGAACCAGAGAUCAAAUUGUCAACAUCUGCUGGAUCAUGGAAAAAGCAAGAGAGUUCCAGAAAAACAUCUAUUUCUGCUUUAUUGACUAUGCCAAAGCCUUUGACUGUGUGGAUCACAAUAAACUGGAAAAUUCUGAAAGAGAUGGGAAUACCAAACCACCUGACCUGCCUCUUGAGAAAUCUGUAUGUAGGUCAGGAAGCAACAGUUAG
This 1002-nucleotide long non-coding RNA is filed under the name Bos indicus x Bos taurus (hybrid cattle). RNAcentral describes it as "lncRNA (ENSBIXG00005017566.1)". Lineage: Eukaryota; Metazoa; Chordata; Mammalia; Artiodactyla; Bovidae. The record is from RNAcentral.